Molecule: microRNA precursor, 87 nt
Organism: Prolemur simus (greater bamboo lemur)
Lineage: Eukaryota; Metazoa; Chordata; Mammalia; Primates; Lemuridae
Source: Ensembl
UGAGGGCCCCUCUGCGUGUUCACAGCGGACCUUGAUUUAAUGUCUAUACAAUUAAGGCACGCGGUGAAUGCCAAGAGAGGCGCCUCC